RNAcentral lists this ribosomal RNA (468 nucleotides) under uncultured bacterium. RNAcentral's name for it is "partial 16S ribosomal RNA". It matches the Rfam family "Bacterial small subunit ribosomal RNA", at positions 28 to 507 of the family's 1533-position model. The record is from RNAcentral.
GAUGAACGCUGGCGGCGUGCUUAACACAUGCAAGUCGAACGGAAAGGCCCUGCUUUUGUGGGGUGCUCGAGUGGCGAACGGGUGAGUAACACGUGAGUAACCUGCCCUUGACUUUGGGAUAACUUCAGGAAACUGGGGCUAAUACUGGAUAGGAGCUCCUGCUGCAUGGUGGGGGUUGGAAAGUUUCGGCGGUUGGGGAUGGACUCGCGGCUUAUCAGCUUGUUGGUGGGGUAGUGGCUUACCAAGGCCUUGACGGGUAGCCGGCCUGAGAGGGUGACCGGCCACAUUGGGACUGAGAUACGGCCCAGACUCCUACGGGAGGCAGCAGUGGGGAAUAUUGCACAAUGGGCGGAAGCCUGAUGCAGCAACGCCGCGUGCGGGAUGACGGCCUUCGGGUUGUAAACCGCUUUCGCCUGUGACGAAGCGUGAGUGACGGUAAUUGGUAAAGAAGCACCGGCUAACUACGUG